This 97-nucleotide microRNA precursor is filed under the name Canis lupus familiaris (dog). RNAcentral's name for it is "mir-8799 microRNA precursor family". It matches the Rfam family "mir-8799 microRNA precursor family". Lineage: Eukaryota; Metazoa; Chordata; Mammalia; Carnivora; Canidae. The record is from Rfam by way of RNAcentral. RNAcentral also lists the same sequence under 1 other name.
GGGGGGAGGUCGGAUCCUGGGCUGUGUCCCUCAGCACCCUGGGCUCCUUGUGGGCCUGUGCUGCUGGAAUCGCCCUCCCGGGCCCUCGCAGCCCCCU